CCACACUCUAUUCAAAAUGGAGUCACUCUUGUUCAAAUGCCUCUGACAAAAGCGGUGUGACAAGCCUGGGAUUCCCAUAGUGAUCAUGCUGGUAGGAGUGAGGUGUUAUUAUUUAGAAACACUAUUGCACCCGCUAAGGAUAUGCAUGGAUAAGGCAGCUGGAGAACAAAUACAAAAAUCUUAAUUAAAAGACCGUUUUGUGAGGUCUUCAACUUCUUCUCCAUUUCACCAACACGCUGCACAGUCUGUGUAUUCAGCGUCACCAAAGAGAUUUUUAAUUCAUCAGCCUGGUUUUUGUGGAUUGUUCGUUGCCUUCUCAGUGCUGUAACACAUAGAGACACUGGUACAGGCAUUAGGAAGGAUGGGAGAAGAUACCAAAUGGUAUAAGACAUGGUCUGGUAUUUCCAGGGAUAGGAUCAUCCAUUUAGGAAAACAGCUACAUAGAGACAUGC
Homo sapiens (human) is the source of this 452-nucleotide long non-coding RNA. Lineage: Eukaryota; Metazoa; Chordata; Mammalia; Primates; Hominidae. The record is from Ensembl.